GGGGGUGUACUGGUUUCGACGGGAUUCGUUGAAGUGAAUGUAAGCACGUCGAGGUUGCCGUUGGCCUCGUUAAAAAGCGGCAAUGCUAUAAAUGCAAACAUUGACGAAGUAGCUCUAGCAGCUGCCUAAUCAAAACUAGACCUGCCGUAACACGCGGGUCGCCCCGAGGGUUAUUUGUCUGUGAUGGCUUUCGGGUUCAACUUAGCAGGCUAGGGGGCUUGGCAAGUCUUGGCCGGUCUUUCGAAACUUAAA
Molecule: transfer-messenger RNA, 252 nt
Filed under: Bdellovibrionales bacterium
Lineage: Bacteria; Pseudomonadati; Bdellovibrionota; Bdellovibrionia; Bdellovibrionales
Description: partial transfer-messenger RNA
Rfam family: transfer-messenger RNA
About the family: Bacterial tmRNA, also known as 10Sa RNA or SsrA, is named for its dual tRNA and mRNA-like properties. Its role is to liberate the mRNA from a stalled ribosome.
Source: RNAcentral